Non-coding RNA from Anolis sagrei ordinatus, 902 nucleotides. The record is from RefSeq and is a predicted model, not a curated record. Lineage: Eukaryota; Metazoa; Chordata; Lepidosauria; Squamata; Anolidae.
AUCCAGAUCAAAAGCCUCUUCGGUUGGAGGAGGAAAGAGAAAGCGAGAGAGAGAGAGAGAGAGAGAGAGAGAGAGAAGGCAUACACAUCCGCUUCGAACUCAGGGAUGUUUUUCCCUCGCUCUCUCCAAAGGUCAACCGGCUAGCACGGUUGCUGCAAGGAUACCAGGAUAGAUGAUAUACCUUACCAUUGAAGGAAGCCUGGAGUAUUCAACUGGAUCUCAUAAGGAGUGAUCAUAGCAUGAACAUACUUUGCAUGCAUAAACAUCUUCAGUUGAAAGAAUCAGUCAGAAACAAUUGCUAGUUGGAAUGGACCACACUGGACGAGAGGAACAGUGGCAGUAAUGAAGGCAGGCAGGUACUGGAGCAGAGACCUGCUUGGGGCCUGCAGUUAUUGACCACCUUCUCUUGCUACUAAGUACCUAUGGAAAAAGUGCAACAGUUAGUGUAGUACACCAAUAUACUUUGGACCAUAGUCCGACCAGGUAUAAGGCAGCCCAAGUCUAGGCAAUGCUGCUUCAUUUGUAAUACUAGAAUUAUGUCAACAUGUCACAAGGUGCUUCACAUGUGAUUGUCUGUCGCACUGAAUUCAAACAUGUCUUUUGUUUCUAAUUUUGAAGGAGGAUUUUCCCCACUAAUGAAAGUUGUCUUUGUGUAGCCAAAGGAAAAAAAAGUUUGAAGCAAAGCCCAAUUAGCACCCACUUUCCCCAAAGGAAAAAAGGAAGUAUGGAUAGGAAAUGUGUGGCUUUCCAGAGAUUGUCAAACUACAGCUGCUAUCAUUCCUCACAUUGGCAAUGGGCACUUCUACAAAAGAACAUUUGUAUGGCACAAUUUUCUCCAUCCUUCAUUCAGUUGCUCUUGUUUCCUCUCAUUAUUUUUUUAAAAACAAUAUUUUGAAUCAUUA